GGAUGUAAAUCAAAUUUCUUUUCUUUGCAUUGGUAUGCAUAACCUUUUAUAGGUUUUGUACACGCAUCACAAUACAUGUCAUAAUCUUUUUUGCAAUUAUGCUUAUUACAGUUAUGUGUAGGAGAUUUCCUAGAAAAUGUGAUUGUUGAUUCUUCAAAAGGUUUAUGGUGAGUUAUUGAGUUGGGGAAUGCACAAGGUUCAUGAAGAUCACAGUCACAAGCUUUG
Molecule: long non-coding RNA, 225 nt
Filed under: Carica papaya (papaya)
Lineage: Eukaryota; Viridiplantae; Streptophyta; Magnoliopsida; Brassicales; Caricaceae
Description: long non-coding RNA (CPAP_LNC016080)
Source: RNAcentral